UCAAUAUGGAAUGCGCUCAUGGAUAAAUAAAUACCUGAGAUUGAUGGGAAACCAGGAGCGUUUCAAGCUUCAGCAGUAGCAACAUGAAAGAUCACGAAGACAACAUCAGCUAUGCAAUGCUGAUGGCUCAAGGCCCUUGUUUCAAUCCUAAGCAAAUAACAGUUCCAAGGCCCUUGUUUCCUGCUGAGGCAGGAAACGAACAGCUAUCUUCUCCAAAACUUGAAAUUAAACCUCUCACGAGCGUACAUAAAGUAUUUCCUGUUCGCAAAGCAGGGACAUUAUUAGCAUGUUCUAUAUUUAACUAACGAGUUAUCUCCCAAAAAAAGAAACAAGAUUUUUAUGACUAAAGCUCCAAUGACAAGAUGUAUCUCUCUACCUGAUCGCUGUUGGAAAAUUUGUCGAUGACAUCCUACUAGGCAAAUAGGGCACCAGGUACCUCAAGCUUGGCAUGAUAGGGCACCAGGUACCUCACGCUUUAAUUGUGUGCAGCAGCUGGCUUGACUUUAGGUACAACCGGUCAAUCAUAGGACAGUUUUAAGACAUGGCUCCCAAUUCAGCAUCUAGACAUUUGAAGCAGUGCAUGCUAAUGUCUGAUCUCUAUAUUGGUAACGUUACCCGAAAGAAUGUUACCUAUCGUGCAUGCUAAUUUUGAUCUUUACUUUGG
This 664-nucleotide long non-coding RNA is filed under the name Nicotiana tabacum (common tobacco). RNAcentral's name for it is "long non-coding RNA (NTAB_LNC006100)". The record is from RNAcentral. Lineage: Eukaryota; Viridiplantae; Streptophyta; Magnoliopsida; Solanales; Solanaceae.